UCGAGGAUCUUCGGCAAUGAGCGCAAGCCUGACCGAGCGACGCCGCGUGGGCGAUGAAGGCCUUCGGGUUGUAAAGCCCUGUCGAGGGGGAGAAAAGGGUAAAACCUUGAUCUAUCCCUGGAGGAAGCACGGGCUAAGUUCGUGCCAGCAGCCGCGGUAAGACGAACCGUGCGAACGUUAUUCGGAAUCACUGGGCUUAAAGGGCGCGUAGGCGGGUUGCCAAGUCUGUGGUGAAAUCCUCCAGCUCAACCGGAGAACGGCCGUGGAUACUGGCGACCUCGAGGGGGGUAGGGGCUUGCGGAACUGUGCGUGGAGCGGUGAAAUGCGUUGAUAUGCACAGGAACUCCGGUGGCGAAGGCGGCGAGCUGGACCCUUUCUGACGCUGAGGCGCGAAAGCCAGGGGAGCGAACGGGAUUAGAUACCCCCGUAGUCC
RNAcentral lists this ribosomal RNA (433 nucleotides) under uncultured bacterium. Its description in RNAcentral is "bacterial SSU rRNA". It matches the Rfam family "Bacterial small subunit ribosomal RNA", at positions 355 to 796 of the family's 1533-position model. The record is from RNAcentral.